CAGUCGCCGCGGUAAUACGUAGGUGGCAAGCGUUGUCCGGAAUUAUUGGGCGUAAAGGGCUCGCAGGCGGUUUCUUAAGUCUGACGUGAAAGCCCCCGGCUCAACCGGGGAGGGUCAUUGGAAACUGGGAAACUUGAGUGCAGAAGAGGAGAGUGGAAUUCCACGUGUAGCGGUGAAAUGCGUAGAGAUGUGGAGGAACACCAGUGGCGAAGGCGACUCUCUGGUCUGUAACUGACGCUGAGGAGCGAAAGCGUGGGGAGCGAACAGGAUUAGAUACCCGUGUAGUCCCUGUCUCUUAUAC
RNAcentral lists this ribosomal RNA (301 nucleotides) under uncultured bacterium. Its description in RNAcentral is "partial 16S ribosomal RNA". It matches the Rfam family "Bacterial small subunit ribosomal RNA", at positions 509 to 807 of the family's 1533-position model. The record is from RNAcentral.